UAGGUUAUAGGGACACAUGUUUGGGACACUUUUGAGUAAGUGUCCCAUUUAUCCUAAAACUUAAAAAAACAUCUAGUAAUGCUUAAAUAUAAAGCCCAAUCCAACCAAAAAUAAAAAAUUACUCUAAUCAACCCACCACACCCAGUCCAUUUGGCCCGAUUACAAACAGAAAAGAAAAAAAAAAGAAAAAUCAAUUACCAUCUUUUCUUCUCUCUUCACUUAAUCCACUAAAAUUCUAGACGAAGAGCAUUUCCUGUCGUUCUCCUCUGCCACCGCAGCCAACGAGAUAGAGUUUCGGCGAUUGCUAAAUGCUUAAAUAAGUGUUUAUAAAUUAGCAGCACUCUUUUA
This 348-nucleotide long non-coding RNA is filed under the name Ananas comosus (pineapple). RNAcentral describes it as "long non-coding RNA (ACOM_LNC033382)". Lineage: Eukaryota; Viridiplantae; Streptophyta; Magnoliopsida; Poales; Bromeliaceae. The record is from RNAcentral.